GAUGAAGAACGUAGCGAAAUGCGAUAAGUAAUGUGAAUUGCAGAAUUCAGUGAAUCAUCGAAUCUUUGAACGCACAUUGCGCCCGCCAGUAUUCUGGCGGGCAUGCCUGUUCGAGCGUCAUUUCAACACUCAAGCCCCCGGGCUUGGUGUUGGGGAUCGGCGUGCCCUCGCGGCGCGCCGUCCCCUAAAUCUAGUGGCGGUCUCGCUGUAGCUUCCUCUGCGUAGUAGCAACACUCGCACUGGAUCGCAGCGCGGCCACGCCGUUAAACCCCCCACUUCUGAAAGUUUGACCUCGGAUCAGGUAGGAAUACCCGCUGAACUUAAGCAUAUCAAUAAGCGGAGGA
RNAcentral lists this unclassified non-coding RNA (344 nucleotides) under soil metagenome. RNAcentral's name for it is "partial contains 5.8S ribosomal RNA, internal transcribed spacer 2, and large subunit ribosomal RNA". The stretch from base 1 to 120 matches the Rfam family "5.8S ribosomal RNA", at positions 35 to 154 of the family's 154-position model. The record is from RNAcentral.